UGUGGUAGAAAUCUGAGCUAUCAGUCUGGCGCUGGGAGAUGUUUGGGGUUGUUUGUUGUUUUUACUUCCAGAUACCUGCUGGAGUCAGGCCAUCCCUUUAAACGAGAAGAGCGGAGCUAGAAAGCACCCCAGCUUAAGGCCUGGAGAGCAGAAUCCCUCUAAGCAGUAGCUUCUUCCUCUCCCUCACAUAAUUCCACAGCCUCUUACUGAAAGGGCAAGGAAAGAGAUGGCCCAGCCAGGCAGAGGGAACACCUGAAUGAGCUCAGGAGGAGAGGCUGCCAUGAUAGCUCCUCCCUCUACAAGCCUUCAGGACAAGCACAUCCUUCCUGACCCUUCCAUUCACUCCAGAUACGAGCACUAUCCCGGGACAGGACUUAGAUCCACGUUGUGAAAUUUUCAAAUGAUGGAGGGAGGAAAGGACAUAGCAGAAGAGAAGAGUCAUCACUCCUUCCGGCCCAAGGGGAGACGCAGCUGCAUAAAGAACCACCCCCCCACCGCCGCCUCCACUGUCUCACUGUCUGGCCCCUACUCUUCAGCCCUUCCUCAUCUAGAGCUGGAUCUGACACCAAAGGCGUCUUGUGAGCAGUGUCAUGACCGAGAAUGAAUACUCUGGAUGUGGUGGCUGGCUCCUUGUGAAGAAGAAUUCAAUCAGAUUCCAUUUGAUUAAUCUGCAUUGAGAUCCUAGUAUGUGUCCGACACUAUGCAGAAAUACUUCACUCCCUCUUCCAUGGCAGACCAUGAUGAACUAGGGUUUGCUGUUUUCACGGCUUCUGUCACUGUUGGAGCUGAGGCUGAGGCUGCAGCAGGAGCUCCUCUGGCCCCGAGGCAAGAGACAUGUUCUCUGCAUCCCCAGGGGACCCAAAGCAACUUCUGGUUUGGGUUAAAGAGGACUUGGGUGACCCCACCCUGCCAGUCAUCCACCCUCUGGCAGCCAGGGCGGCAGCAGGGGAGGGGGCAGAAGGCUGCCACAGUGCUUCUCUCCCCUGCCAUUUCCUCUGCAGCUCCCUCUCUGGCCCUGUUUUUCAGACCUCUAGUAAUAAAAACAAGCCAAUAAAAUGAACAUGAAAAUA
This 1070-nucleotide long non-coding RNA is filed under the name Homo sapiens (human). RNAcentral describes it as "HSALNT0365588". Lineage: Eukaryota; Metazoa; Chordata; Mammalia; Primates; Hominidae. The record is from RNAcentral.